RNAcentral lists this ribosomal RNA (506 nucleotides) under uncultured bacterium. RNAcentral's name for it is "partial 16S ribosomal RNA". It matches the Rfam family "Bacterial small subunit ribosomal RNA", at positions 30 to 523 of the family's 1533-position model. The record is from RNAcentral.
AUUGAACGCUGGCGGCAGGCCUAACACAUGCAAGUCGAACGGCAGCACAGGAGAGCUUGCUCUCUGGGUGGCGAGUGGCGGACGGGUGAGGAAUACAUCGGAAUCUACUCUGUCGUGGGGGAUAACGUAGGGAAACUUACGCUAAUACCGCAUACGACCUACGGGUGAAAGCAGGGGACCUUCGGGCCUUGCGCGAUUGAAUGAGCCGAUGUCGGAUUAGCUAGUUGGCGGGGUAAAGGCCCACCAAGGCGACGAUCCGUAGCUGGUCUGAGAGGAUGAUCAGCCACACUGGAACUGAGACACGGUCCAGACUCCUACGGGAGGCAGCAGUGGGGAAUAUUGGACAAUGGGCGCAAGCCUGAUCCAGCCAUACCGCGUGGGUGAAGAAGGCCUUCGGGUUGUAAAGCCCUUUUGUUGGGAAAGAAAUCCAGCUGGCUAAUACCCGGUUGGGAUGACGGUACCCAAAGAAUAAGCACCGGCUAACUUCGUGCCAGCCGCCGCCGUAA